CGAGGUCCGUAAUUGAAAUUAUUUGUCAUCAUCGUACGAAGAGUUUCAACAGAAGACGAUUUU
RNAcentral lists this small RNA (63 nucleotides) under Caenorhabditis elegans. Its description in RNAcentral is "Unclassified non-coding RNA T25B9.13". The record is from RNAcentral. Lineage: Eukaryota; Metazoa; Nematoda; Chromadorea; Rhabditida; Rhabditidae.